This 225-nucleotide unclassified non-coding RNA is filed under the name Hevea brasiliensis (rubber tree). Lineage: Eukaryota; Viridiplantae; Streptophyta; Magnoliopsida; Malpighiales; Euphorbiaceae. The record is from RNAcentral.
GAAAGUUGAGACUGUUAUGCUAAUGAACAGAGUUGAUCACAGGUAAUGGAUUCAGAUUUUAUGGAAAAAUGGAAAGGAAAGGCAUAACUGGCCAGAUUUUGAAGUUAUGAACUCUUUAUCUUCAACCCCUAAUGAUGGCAAUUCAUGCGCUAAUGCUAUAUAUGUAGUCUAAUCAGGAUAUGUCCUCAACGUACCAUAUGAAUCCACAUUUUAUCUAAUUUUUGU